RNAcentral lists this long non-coding RNA (1463 nucleotides) under Mus spicilegus (steppe mouse). Its description in RNAcentral is "lncRNA (ENSMSIG00000005135.1)". Lineage: Eukaryota; Metazoa; Chordata; Mammalia; Rodentia; Muridae. The record is from RNAcentral.
CUAGAACGGGCAGAACAGGCAACAGCUGGGGCUCUGGAUUGAAUCUCUUCCCAGAAGAGGCCUGAGGGACUGGCUGACUGAAAGGCAGCAGAAUACCCCCUUUUCACAGGCUUCCCUUCUGAGAAACCAAGGCUCGAAGAGAGAAGGCACCUGCCAAGGGCCCAGCCUGAAGCAGCAGCAGUGGGCAGACUCUCAAGCAGUCCCUGAAUGCAGGCAUCAAAGCAAGGAUCCGCAGAAAGAGAUCAAAGGCGGCUUUGCUCCUUCAGGGGGAGAAAACCUCAAUACAACCCAGUCAGGGUGGGGCGGCCCACUGGGGAGACACCAUGCACAUAUGGAAGAGAAUUCCCAGACUCAGACAGGCGGCACUCUGUCUAAGAAGCCCAUCAGGGACUGGGGACUUCAGACAAGCUACAGCCAGAGAGUUCCAGCAUCUCAGAGAAGUUCAGACCUCAAGGAGAGCUGAGUCCAGUGGCUGUUUAUUGAGCAACUACUAUGUCUCAUCAUGCUCUUAGAGUUGUCAUGAGAGGUUGGGGAGUCUGUCCUUAUUUUCCAGAGAAGAAAAUGAUAGGCAGAAGAAUGCUAGGGCAAGAAACCAGGUCUGGGGUCCCUACACUUCCAAGUCUGUCUUCACAGGCUCCCCUGUCUCUGUGGGAGUAGUGUGAGUGAUAUCUAGAGUUGGGGAGGGAACCAUUUGUCAAAAUCAGGCUGACAACAGGACUGUGCUUGCCUACGAGCCUGAGAAUUCUGAGUUCUGGUCCCAGGAUCUCUAUAUGAGGAAGGAGAGAACCAACUCAAAGCUGUGCUCCGAGCUCUCUGCAAAUGCCCUGGUGUGCACACGCACAUGCACGCAUGAGCACACACACACACACACACACACACACGCAUAGAUAUGAUUUUAAAAUGUUUUUAAGAGGAAGAUGCGUAGGGCGUGGCAUGUAGGAGCCUGGGGCCUUACUGGACUGGUGUGUUGGAAUGGGUAUGUUGGAGAAUGUCAGGCUGAGAGUCUCAGGCAUUGUUCACUAACUCAGCCAAAUGUGUCCUGAGUGUCCAUACACUGAAGACUGUCUCUGGCCUGCUAGGGCACCAUGAUGAUCACAAUAGACAUUAUCUGGCCUCUUCAAGUCUGGCUCUUGGGAGAAGGAUGGAGGAUAAGUGCAAAGAUAAACAAGGUUGGUUUUCAGGUCCAGUGAUGGAGAUCUCACAGCCAAGUACCACAACCCCAGUGGCUCCAAGCAGUAGCCAUGGAUGUCUUUGUUCUGAGGGCUGGCAGUGGCUAGGCCUGGCUUCCUCUAAGGGCCUAGGCAGUGUCUUUCCUAGCUCCCAUCACCCUCUGAUGGCCCUUAGUGCUCCCAGGCUGUGAUAAUGCAAGUCUUCUUUCCAGCUUGGCCUCUAAACAGCCCAGUCUCUGAGUCCCUUCCUUGUCUUAGAUUGACUUAUCCCAUUUUGCCGAAGAGAAAAAUUGG